GAAAGAGAUCACAAUGUGGACUUGAUCUCACAAUCAGACCAUGACCUGAGCUGAAAACAAGGGUUGGAUACUCAACCAGCUGAGCCACUCAGGCGCCCCUAAAUCCCAUGUUUCAGUUAAGAGUAAAAGGCAUCUAUGUUUCUUCAUUCUCAACUUCUGAUCAUCACCAAGCUGAUGGAAAAAGGAACGUAGAUUUCUUUGAAAAGAGGAAGUGGAGAUCAGAGUGACUUUGAGCCCCUGAGAUGUCGCUUGAUUUCCCAGUUUUACACUGGGAGCUGGAUUUGCAAUUGUUAAUAUAACUACCCACAGUUGACUAGAGUCAUCAAAACUAUGAGUAUUCUUUUUCUUUUUCUUUCUUUUUUGCCCAUUCUACAUUGACUUGUUUUAUUAUUGAUUGUUGAGGUUCUUUACA
This is a long non-coding RNA of Felis catus (domestic cat), 412 nucleotides long. RefSeq lists it as uncharacterized. NCBI's taxonomy places the organism in Eukaryota, Metazoa, Chordata, Mammalia, Carnivora, Felidae. The transcript is spliced from 3 exons. The record is from RefSeq and is a predicted model, not a curated record.